GUGUCUGUAGCCUAGUUGGUAAAGGAAGCACUCUGUUAUGUGACUCAGCAUUGCUGAGGUUGUGAGUACAAAUCUCACCAGGCACA
Puccinia graminis f. sp. tritici is the source of this 86-nucleotide transfer RNA. It matches the Rfam family "tRNA". Rfam says of the family: Transfer RNA (tRNA) molecules are approximately 80 nucleotides in length. Their secondary structure includes four short double-helical elements and three loops (D, anti-codon, and T loops). Further hydrogen bonds mediate the characteristic L-shaped molecular structure. tRNAs have two regions of fundamental functional importance: the anti-codon, which is responsible for specific mRNA codon recognition, and the 3' end, to which the tRNAs corresponding amino acid is attached (by aminoacyl-tRNA synthetases). tRNAs cope with the degeneracy of the genetic code in two manners: having more than one tRNA (with a specific anti-codon) for a particular amino acid; and 'wobble' base-pairing, i.e. permitting non-standard base-pairing at the 3rd anti-codon position. The record is from Rfam. Lineage: Eukaryota; Fungi; Basidiomycota; Pucciniomycetes; Pucciniales; Pucciniaceae.